Molecule: RNA transcript, 2960 nt
Organism: Etheostoma spectabile (orangethroat darter)
Lineage: Eukaryota; Metazoa; Chordata; Actinopteri; Perciformes; Percidae
Gene: gria3b
Gene name: glutamate receptor, ionotropic, AMPA 3b
Exons: 16
Source: RefSeq, a predicted model, not a curated record
UCUCUCUCUCUCUUCCUCUCUUAGUUGCAAAAAAAAAAUGCUCUGCAGCUGGGCUGCACCUCAAUGAACCUAAUUGGUGCACUGUGAGCGACCAUCAUCUAUCCACUGGAUUUCCAUCGUGGCCGGCUUCCAUCCAGAACAUAUGAAUUUGCUUAGACAGACCCUUUUAAGGAGUUGAACAGAUAGGUCGGAGAAAAUGGCACAACGCGUGGUUUUGUUUCUACUGUGGCUCUUUGACAGAUCAUCCGCAGGAUUUCCCAAUCAGAUCAAUAUCGGGGGGCUGUUCAUGCGUUCCACGGUGCAGGAGCACAGCGCGUUCAGGUUCGCUGUCCAACUCUACAACACCAACCAAAACACCACUGAAAAGCCUUUCCACCUCAACUACAAUGUCGACAACCUCGAGUCGUCCAACAGCUUUUCAGUCACCCAUGCGUUUUGCUCCCAGUUCUCCCGCGGCGUGUACGCCAUCUUUGGAUUCUACGACAAGAAGUCCAUGAACACCUUGACCUCGUUCUGCGGCGCCCUGCACACCUCCUUUGUCACACCCAGUUACCCCACCGAUAAUGAGGUGCAGUUUGUCAUCCAGAUGCGCCCCGCCCUCCGGGGUGCUGUCCUCAGCCUGCUCUCUCACUACAAGUGGCAGAAGUUUGUCUACCUCUACGACACUGACCGAGGUUUCUCUAUACUGCAGGCCAUCAUGGAGGCAGCAGUAGCCAACAACUGGCAGGUGACCGCCCGCUCUGUUAGCAGCACAACCGAUGCAGCAGAGUUCAAGCGCAUCAUUGAGGAGAUGGACAGGAGGCAGGAGAAGCGCUUUGUGAUUGACUGCGAGGUGGACAGGAUCAACACCAUAUUAGAACAGGUUGUGAUCCUGGGGAAGAACAGCCGUGGUUACCACUACAUCCUGGCCAAUCUUGGAUUUACUAACGUGAGCUUGGACAAAGUCUUCGCCGGUGGAGCCAACAUUUCAGGGUUUCAGAUAGUCAACCCUGAGAACCCAAUUGUGCAGCAGUUUAUGCAGCGCUGGGAGCGGCUAGAUGAAAGAGAAUUCCCAGAAGCCCGAAACACUCCUCUGAAGUACACUUCAGCUCUGACCCAUGAUGCCAUUCUGGUGAUCGCAGAGGCCUUCAGGUACCUGCGACGCCAACGUGUGGACGUCUCUCGUCGGGGCAGCGCUGGAGACUGCCUAGCCAAUCCCGCUGUACCUUGGAGCCAAGGCAUUGACAUCGAGAGAGCUCUUAAAACGGUUCAAGUGAACGGUAUGACUGGGAACAUCCAGUUUGACAACUACGGACGCAGAACAAACUACACCAUUGAUGUUUAUGAGAUGAAAACAGGUGGGCCGAGUAAGAUUGGGUACUGGAACGAGUACGCACGAUUUGUAAAUAUUAUGGACCCGCAGGUCUCCAACGACUCCUCAGUGGAAAAUCGAACGAUUGUGGUCACUACUAUUAUGGAAGCGCCUUAUGUGAUGUACAAGAAAAAUUAUAUGCAUCUGGAUGGGAAUGACAGAUAUGAAGGCUACUGCGUCGAUUUAGCAUCUGAGAUUGCCAAACAUGUUGGAAUUAAGUACAAACUGUCUAUAGUAAUGGAUGGGAAGUACGGAGCCCGAGACCCCGAGACCAAGACGUGGAACGGGAUGGUGGGUGAACUGGUCUAUGGGAGAGCAGAUAUAGCUGUUGCACCUCUUACCAUUACUCUGGUUCGAGAAGAGGUGAUAGACUUUUCCAAGCCCUUUAUGAGCUUGGGCAUCUCCAUUAUGAUAAAGAAGCCACAAAAGUCAAAGCCUGGCGUUUUCUCCUUCCUGGACCCGCUGGCCUAUGAGAUCUGGAUGUGUAUAGUGUUUGCCUAUAUUGGGGUGAGCGUGGUCCUGUUCCUGGUCAGUCGGUUCAGUCCUUAUGAGUGGAACCUGGAUGAACAGGACGAGACCAAAGACCCCCAGACGCCCCCCGAUCCUCCUAACGACUUUGGCAUCUUCAAUUCUCUCUGGUUCUCACUGGGCGCCUUCAUGCAGCAGGGCUGUGACAUCUCCCCCAGGUCUCUGUCGGGCCGCAUCGUCGGCGGUGUGUGGUGGUUCUUCACCCUCAUCAUCAUCUCCUCCUACACAGCCAACCUGGCUGCCUUCUUGACAGUGGAGAGGAUGGUCUCUCCUAUAGAAAGUGCCGAAGAUUUAGCCAAGCAGACAGAGAUAGCAUAUGGCACUCUGGACUCAGGCUCCACAAAGGAGUUUUUUAGGCGAUCCAAAAUAGCAGUAUAUGAGAAGAUGUGGUCAUACAUGAAAUCCGCUGAACCCUCAGUGUUUGUUAAGACCACACCCGAUGGCGUAGCCCGGGUACGAAAGUCAAAGGGCAAGUUUGCCUUUCUCCUCGAGUCCACCAUGAACGAGUACAUCGAGCAGCGGAAGCCCUGCGACACCAUGAAAGUGGGCGGGAACCUCGAUUCAAAAGGAUACGGUGUGGCGACGCCCAAAGGCUCAGCAUUAAGAAAUGCUGUUAACCUGGCAGUUUUAAAACUGAAUGAGCAAGGCCUCUUGGACAAAUUGAAAAACAAAUGGUGGUACGACAAGGGAGAGUGCGGCAGCGGGGGAGGUGACUCCAAGAACUCCUGUAAACCUUGCAGUAUUGAAACUCAGUGAACAAGGCAUCUUAGACAAGCUGAAAAACAAAUGGUGGUACGAUAAGGGUGAAUGUGGAACCAAGGACUCUGGAAGUAAGGACAAGACAAGUGCUCUCAGCCUAAGCAAUGUGGCUGGUGUCUUCUAUAUUCUGGUUGGAGGGCUGGGGCUGGCCAUGAUGGUGGCUCUGAUAGAGUUCUGUUAUAAAUCACGGCAAGAAACCAAACGGCUGAAAUUGGCCAAGAAUGCCCAGAAUUUUAAGCCGGCUCCCCCGACCAACACCCAGAACUUUGCCACAUACAGAGAAGGCUACAACGUAUACGGAACCGAGAGCGUAAAGAUCUAG